GAUGAACGCUGGCGGCGUGCCUAAUACAUGCAAGUCGAGCGAACAGACGUGGAGCUUGCUCCUCUGACGUUAGCGGCGGACGGGUGAGUAACACGUGGAUAACCUACCUAUAAGACUGGGAUAAUUUCGGGAAACCGGAGCUAAUACCGGAUAAUAUAUUGAACCGCAUGGUUCAAUAGUGAAAUACGGUUUUUCUGUCUCUUAUAGAUGGAUCUGCGCCGCAUUAGCUAGUUGGUAGGGUAACGGCUUACCAAGGCAACGAUGCGUAGCCGACGUGAGAGGGUGGUCGGCCACACUGGAGCUGAGACAGGGUCAAGACUCCUGCGGGAGGCAGCAGUAGGGAAUCUUCCGCAAUGGGCGAGAGCCUGACGGAGCAACGCCGCGUGAGUGAUGGAGGUCUUCGGAUCGUAAAACUCUGUUAUUGGGGAAGAACAAAUGUGUAAGUAACUAUGGACGUCUUGACGGUACCUAAUCAGAAAGCCACGGCUAACUACGUG
This 497-nucleotide ribosomal RNA is filed under the name uncultured bacterium. RNAcentral's name for it is "partial 16S ribosomal RNA". It matches the Rfam family "Bacterial small subunit ribosomal RNA", at positions 28 to 507 of the family's 1533-position model. The record is from RNAcentral.